GUCGAGAGGCUUUGGCAAUGGGGGAAACCCUGACCAAGCGACGCCGCGUGGAGGAUGAAGGCCCUUGGGUUGUAAACUCCUUUUGUCGGGGAAGAAAUGCGAUCAGGUUAAUAAUCUGGUCGUUUGACGGUACCCGGCGAAUAAGCUCCGGCUAACUCCGUGCCAGCAGCCGCGGUAACACGGGGGGAGCAAGCGUUGUUCGGAAUCACUGGGCGUAAAGGGCGUGUAGGCGGUUAGGUAAGUGGGAUGUGAAAUGCCUCGGCUCACCCGAGGACCGGCAUCCCAAACUGCCCGACUUGAGUAUGGGAGAGGAUGUGGGAAUUCCUGGUGUAGCGGUGAAAUGCGUAGAUAUCAGGAGGAACACCGGUGGCGAAGGCGCACAUCUGGCCCAAUACUGACGCUGAGGCGCGAAAGCUAGGGGAGCAAACGGGAUUAGAUACCCGAGUAGUCC
This 451-nucleotide ribosomal RNA is filed under the name uncultured bacterium. RNAcentral's name for it is "bacterial SSU rRNA". It matches the Rfam family "Bacterial small subunit ribosomal RNA", at positions 354 to 796 of the family's 1533-position model. The record is from RNAcentral.